RNAcentral lists this ribosomal RNA (440 nucleotides) under uncultured Duganella sp. RNAcentral describes it as "bacterial SSU rRNA". It matches the Rfam family "Bacterial small subunit ribosomal RNA", at positions 358 to 790 of the family's 1533-position model. Lineage: Bacteria; Pseudomonadati; Pseudomonadota; Betaproteobacteria; Burkholderiales; Oxalobacteraceae. The record is from RNAcentral.
GGAAUUUUGGACAAUGGGCGCAAGCCUGAUCCAGCAAUGCCGCGUGAGUGAAGAAGGCCUUCGGGUUGUAAAGCUCUUUUGUCAGGGAAGAAACGGUGAUCUCUAAUAUAGAUUGCUAAUGACGGUACCUGAAGAAUAAGCACCGGCUAACUACGUGCCAGCAGCCGCGGUAAUACGUAGGGUGCAAGCGUUAAUCGGAAUUACUGGGCGUAAAGCGUGCGCAGGCGGUUUUGUAAGACUGUCGUGAAAUCCCCGGGCUCAACCUGGGAAUGGCGAUGGUGACUGCAAGGCUAGAGUUUGGCAGAGGGGGGUAGAAUUCCACGUGUAGCAGUGAAAUGCGUAGAUAUGUGGAGGAACACCGAUGGCGAAGGCAGCCCCCUGGGUCAAAACUGACGCUCAUGCACGAAAGCGUGGGGAGCAAACAGGAUUAGAUACCCUGG